RNAcentral lists this ribosomal RNA (505 nucleotides) under uncultured bacterium. RNAcentral's name for it is "partial 16S ribosomal RNA". It matches the Rfam family "Bacterial small subunit ribosomal RNA", at positions 28 to 507 of the family's 1533-position model. The record is from RNAcentral.
GACGAACGCUGGCGGCGUGCCUAAUACAUGCAAGUAGAACGCACAGUUUAUACCGUAGCUUGCUACACCAUAGACUGUGAGUUGCGAACGGGUGAGUAACGCGUAGGUAACCUGCCUGGUAGCGGGGGAUAACUAUUGGAAACGAUAGCUAAUACCGCAUAAUAUUAAUUAUUGCAUGAUAAUUAAUUGAAAGGUGCAAUUGCACCACUACCAGAUGGACCUGCGUUGUAUUAGCUAGUAGGUGAGGUAACGGCUCACCUAGGCGACGAUACAUAGCCGACCUGAGAGGGUUAUCGGCCACACUGGGACUGAGACACGGCCCAGACUCCUACGGGAGGCAGCAGUAGGGAAUCUUCGGCAAUGGACGAAAGUCUGACCGAGCAACGCCGCGUGAGUGAAGAAGGUUUUCGGAUCGUAAAGCUCUGUUGUAAGAGAAGAACGGGUGUGAGAGUGGAAAGUUCACACUGUGACGGUAUCUUACCAGAAAGAGACGGCUAACUACGUG